Molecule: ribosomal RNA, 497 nt
Filed under: uncultured bacterium
Lineage: Bacteria
Description: partial 16S ribosomal RNA
Rfam family: Bacterial small subunit ribosomal RNA
Source: RNAcentral
GACGAACGCUGGCGGCGUGCCCAAUACAUGCAAGUUGAGCGCUGAAGGUUGGUACUUGUACCAACUGGAUGAGCAGCGAACGGGUGAGUAACGCGUGGGGAAUCUGCCUUUGAGCGGGGGACAACAUUUGGAAACGAAUGCUAAUACCGCAUAAAGACUUUAAACACAAGUUUUAAGUUUGAAAGAUGCAAUUGCAUCACUCAAAGAUGAUCCCGCGUUGUAUUAGCUAGUUGGUGAGGUAAAGGCUCACCAAGGCGAUGAUACAUAGCCGACCUGAGAGGGUGAUCGGCCACAUUGGGACUGAGACACGGCCCAAACUCCUACGGGAGGCAGCAGUAGGGAAUCUUCGGCAAUGGACGAAAGUCUGACCGAGCAACGCCGCGUGAGUGAAGAAGGUUUUCGGAUCGUAAAACUCUGUUGGUAGAGAAGAACGUUGGUGAGAGUGGAAAGCUCAUCAAGUGACGGUAACUACCCAGAAAGGGACGGCUAACUACGUG